RNAcentral lists this ribosomal RNA (473 nucleotides) under uncultured bacterium. Its description in RNAcentral is "SSU rRNA". It matches the Rfam family "Bacterial small subunit ribosomal RNA", at positions 26 to 518 of the family's 1533-position model. The record is from RNAcentral.
AGGACGAACGCUGGCGGCGUGCUUAACACAUGCAAGUCGAGCGGAAAGGCCCUUCGGGGUACUCGAGCGGCGAACGGGUGAGUAACACGUGAGUAACCUGCCCCUAGCUCUGGGAUAGCUCCGGGAAACCGGGAUUAAUACCAGAUACGACCACUUUAGACAUCUGUCGUGGUGGAAAGGAUUCCGGCUAGGGAUGGGCUCGCGGCCUAUCAGCUUGUUGGUGGGGUAACGGCCUACCAAGGCGACGACGGGUAGCCGGCCUGAGAGGGCGACCGGCCACACUGGGACUGAGACACGGCCCAGACUCCUACGGGAGGCAGCAGUGGGGAUAUUGCGCAAUGGGCGAAAGCCUGACGCAGCAACGCCGCGUGGGGGAUGAAUGCCUUCGGGUUGUAAACCCCUUUCAGCAGGGACGAAGCGAAAGUGACGGUACCUGCAGAAGAAGCGCCGGCUAACUACGCGCCAGCAGCCGC